Non-coding RNA from Phoenix dactylifera (date palm), 1672 nucleotides. The record is from RefSeq and is a predicted model, not a curated record. NCBI's taxonomy places the organism in Eukaryota, Viridiplantae, Streptophyta, Magnoliopsida, Arecales, Arecaceae.
CCCUCUCCCUCUCCCUCUCCCUCUCCCUCUCCUUCGCCCUCCUUCUCCUCUCUCUCUCUUUCUCUCCCCCUCCCUUGCUGGUUUGCUUGUUGGUUCAUGCCGAAAUGGCACGGGGGUGUACCAUACCGCGCUCUUGGCCUACCGGCAUUGGUGCCGAUUUUGAUACUGUGGAUCUUGAUCUAAAAUCUGAUGUAGCUUAGAAUUAUUGGCCUAGAUGUUCUGUUGUGAUGUGCAAAUAUUUGCAGAGUUUUGUUGGUCAUGGGGAUUCGGUAAAUGAAAUAAGGACUCAACCAUUGAAGCCUUCACUUGUGGUGUCUGCCAGCAAGGAUGAAUCAGUUAGGCUAUGGAAUGUGCACACUGGAAUCUGUAUACUGAUAUUUGCUGGGGCAGGAGGUCAUCGGAAUAAAGUUUUGAGUGUUGACUUCCAUCCCUCUGAUAUUUACCGCAUAGCAAGUUGUGGUAUGGACAAUACUGUUAAAAUUUGGUCGAUGAAAGAGUUCUGGACAUAUGUUGAAAAGUCAUUUAGAUGGACUGACCUUCCAUCAAAAUUUCCCACAAAAUAUGUGCAGUUUCCAGUGUUCAUAGCUUCAGUCCACUCCAACUAUGUUGACUGCACUCGGUGGCUUGGUGAUUUUGUCUUGUCAAAGAGUGUUGACAAUGAAAUUGUUUUGUGGGAGCCAAAAACCAAGGAACAAAGUCCUGGAGAGGGAGCUGUUGAUAUUCUUCAAAAAUACCCUGUGCCUGAAUGUGAUAUCUGGUUCAUCAAAUUUUCAUGUGAUUUUCACUACAAUGCAGCUGCAAUAGCUUCCACUGAGCAGGAAAUCGAGAAGGAAAGAUUUAUGUUUGGGAGCUUCAGUCCAACCCACCUGUUCUCAUAGCAAGACUAGCUCUGCUCUGUAAAUCUCCCAUAAGGCAGACAGCACUGACCUUUGAUGGAAGCACCAUCCUUAGCUGUUGUGAGGAUGGCUCCAUAUGGCGCUGGGAUGUAGUUCAGUCAUGAUGCGACCCAUUAAUUUGGAGCUGUGCAGGUCCUACUUCAACUUGAUGGUCACUUUUCAGUACUUGUACAACAGGGUUGCUGUAUCUAAAUGAUGUAGAAGUAGCUGCACUGCUUGGAUCAGAUUUUCGUCUCCAGAAAGCCCCAUCUUUUCUUCAUUUUUGUGCUUCCUGUGUUCUUGUAGCCUUCUGCUCUUGUACUCAAUGUUAUAGUGCGGCUACGGGCGAUCAGCAAGAAUCACCUUAUCCAGAAUCUGGAGGUUCACUUCAGAGAAUGCUGAGUCCUUCCUAAUCAGUCUGUUUCCACCAGCAAUUGAAUAUCUAACUUGGGGAGGACAGCAUGUGGAUGGUGUAGUUGUGGGCUAUCAUGCUGUUCAAAUUUAUGUUCUUGUAUGUUCUUGGCUUAUAGGAACUUGGCUAACAAUGAUGGUGGUGAUGAUGGAGUCUGGUUAAAUGAUUUUAUCUCAGGCUUCAGGCAAAUAUAAGGAUGAGAAGACCAAGAAAUGAUUCAAUCUAAGGCCAGUUCAUUCAAUUUUCAAAUUUGUAUGCCAAAUCUGUAACAUGCACUUAAUUUACUUUUAUCUAAUGUGAUAGAAGGGGAUAAAAUGGAUUUUCCAACAUAAGCAAUGGUUAACUUUUAUUUUUACAAUAAAACAUUGCAUAAUGUUCUUUACUA